GCUUGCCAUCUGACUGCGGGUGCAGCCCGGCUGCCUGCUUUCAAACUCAGCGUUUUUCGUGGGCCGGUUCGCGUUUGGUCGGGGGUUCCCCGUUGGGAGUUGGAAUGCCUGACUCCCCCAGCGUGCCCCAGCGUUCUUUGUUUCAGGAUUCUGCAAGCCUGUUUCAGGACCAAAUGGGAAUUUCAGAGAUGGCAAAGAGGAACAUCUUCAGUCCAUGGACUUUUCCCUGAAGCUCAGCUGUUUGGACUUGAAGCAACAAACCUCUGUGCUGCUGGUGUCCUGGGUGUGUGCAGAGCAGAGCAGCCCCAGAAACCCCUUGGGCUGCCCACAAGUUGCCAUGCCUUGUUCCCAGGUGUGCCCAGCUCUGGCAGGAGAAGGAGCCCGCAGCGCAGUGGGCACCGUGCCCUGCCCAGCUGGGGCUCUCUGGCACAGAGCAGCAGCAGUGCCAGCACCAUUCAACCCGUUCCUGCCUUGGCUUCCCCUGGGACACAGAAGCCUCUGGAAAUCAGCACUGCCAGUGGCAUUCCCAGCUUGGAGCAGCUGCUGCUGGCGGGCAGAUGCUGCCAGUUCGACUGCUUCCAAAGUGGCAGAAAGGCAGAGAUGUACAUGCACCGGAGCCCUGGACAUGUCCAAUAAAUAUGCAAAAAUGUGGGAGGAUUUUUAGGAAUUAUUUCAGCUGUUAUGCCAACAGUGGCUUCUCUCCUGGUUCUGUGUAACGCCUUGGGUCCUUUUCUGAAACCAGCAGUCACCCCUGGCUUCAUUCCCUGGUUGCUGUCAGUUGCAUGUCAAAGCAGGGUUUUGUGGGCUCCAAGUUCCAGCUUUCAGGCUGGAGCGCCAAACUGUGUUGUUCCUCUUGACUGACUGUUCUCUCUCCAUGUCACUGUGCUUGGAGCAUCCACUUUUGCUAUGAAGUAGGACACAGAAAGCAGAGAAUAAAAAUGGCUUGGAAACUCUUUGCUGGGAACUGUAUGCUAGAGCUUUCAGUUCUGUUCUUUUGAAGAAAUAUCUUCAUUUUCUGAAUGGAGGAUGAAGUGUGUUUAGCAGGGCUUUGGGGAGUGGUUUUUGUGUUUGAAACUGAUUCCUGAUCCAUGAUCUAGAAAAAAAACAUGGCCACCCUCUGAAAAGUUAAAUUUUGGAGCUGAUGAUAUUAAUAAGCAGGAAAAAUAAAGCCUGUAAUUUCAAAGAAAUUUAUCGCUUCAGGCAUCAAGUCAAGCAUUUCUUGUGAACUGUCCGGCCUUUCAGUCCAACACCAUAGAGGAUUUGCAUUAGGCCAAUGUGCAGUCUCCCAGAUUCCACAGCCUGAGUUUGGCCAGCUGCUCCCUCCACUGCACUUUGUGGGCUCAUGCACUGGCAUUGGGGGUUAAUGCUGGCCAAAUGUCAGAGCACCCUGUAGAAGUCCAUCCGAAAAUCCUUCAUUUUUUGCCUCACAAUUGUCAUGAGAAAAGACUACCGAAGGGUUAAAGCUGCUGAGCCAGUUGGGAAAGAAAGUCUCCUGCUUAUCUACUGUGUUCACAAGUGAUGUUUGCAGAACACGCCAUGCUGUACUCAAAGGGGGCAUGCUGCCCUUUUCUGGACAAUUGAACUGGACUUUCUUCCAAACACUUGAUCUGGCUGGACUGAGCUCUGGGGUGGUUCCCCUCCGCUCCAUAAGAAGACCCCUCUUGCCUGUCUUCAACCACCGUGACGGACCAACAGAGAUGCGAAUCCCCUCGUCAAGGAACCAAGAACCCCUCUGGCACCCUAUUGACACCCCCAUGGCACCCCCAUGGCACCCCUCUGGCAACCUCCUUCCAGAGACUGGGAUUGUACUCCCUCCCAACUCAGGGAGGGGGAAAACUUAACGUACAUGUGAGCAUUCGGCCAUGAAAACAAUGGACUUCUCCCCUCCAUGGAAACCUAAUUUCAGUUACCUUCCCCCAACCAAGAACAGUAUAUAUAUUGGGGUUCGGUCCGACUGCCCUUGAAGAUCUCCCCAAGACGUGUACCAGCGAGUUUCGGCGGCGGGACCCCGAAGACAUCACGUCUUGGUAGCUAUACCCCAUUCCCUGACCUUCUUUCCUCCCUUUUUCCUUGUCUUAACCUUCUCUUCCCCAUAUCCCUUAAC
This is a long non-coding RNA of Melospiza melodia melodia, 2104 nucleotides long. RefSeq lists it as uncharacterized. The transcript is spliced from 3 exons. NCBI's taxonomy places the organism in Eukaryota, Metazoa, Chordata, Aves, Passeriformes, Passerellidae. The record is from RefSeq and is a predicted model, not a curated record.